AUGGCAGCUUCUUCAUUGGUUCUAAUUGAUUCCUAUCAUUAUUUUGAUCCUGGAUACUAAACAAUUGACAAGAAGCUACAGCAGACUUCUUGUUGAUCAUAUCAUUGCACUUUUCAGCUGAACAAAGAGUAAGUGUAUUAUUAUUAUCCAAACCCUUCAACUCAAAAGCUAAAUGACCCACUUUAUGUAACGCCCUGCGUUUAUACCACU
Molecule: long non-coding RNA, 210 nt
Filed under: Helianthus annuus (common sunflower)
Lineage: Eukaryota; Viridiplantae; Streptophyta; Magnoliopsida; Asterales; Asteraceae
Description: hypothetical non coding rna
Source: RNAcentral